This is a long non-coding RNA of Carassius gibelio (silver crucian carp), 1443 nucleotides long. RefSeq lists it as uncharacterized. The transcript is spliced from 3 exons. NCBI's taxonomy places the organism in Eukaryota, Metazoa, Chordata, Actinopteri, Cypriniformes, Cyprinidae. The record is from RefSeq and is a predicted model, not a curated record.
UGGCAACUACAGCAGCAGAGUAAUAACGCUAUUCCGUUGAUUGCUUGAGGUGAGUAAAAGUGGUUGUGUAAAUAUCUUAUAAUAUGAAAUGCGAUGUUCGAUCAUUUAUUUAUCCAUGGUACGUUCAAUUUGAAUAAUUAUUGUUAAUAAUUGUUAUAAAUUGCUAAUUUUAUUGUUCUUUGUGGAUUGUAACAGUACACUCUGUACAUGGCUUUAGUUCAUAGGUUCGAUUUUACAGAGGUAUGGCAUCACAUUUGUCAAGUUAUUUGAACAGACAUGCAUGAUUUUUGUGUGUAUACUAUUAUUAUUAUUAUUAUUAUUCAGGAUGACAUGAUCAGGAGGUGGUGGUGUUCUGUUCUCCUGGACAGCUUCACUCCGCAAAUAGCUCAACCACUGAGGGGAGGAACUUCACCAUUCACCAUGUCUUCAGGCAGAGUCCAGCAAAGCAGCUUCCACUGGAAAUCCUCAGGGAAGUUAUUUUGUUGGCGGGUGACUCUGCAUAUUUGACACUUUCUCUGGUUUGCAGAUGGUUUAGGGAUGUGCUCCGAAGUUUUUCGGAAAGCGGCACAGUUUGCCUGGCUAGACAGUAAGAUUUCCCCGUUUAAUGCUCAUUCUCCAAUUGAAUUUUGUAGUAGAAGGCUGUUAAACUUUUUUUGUAUUAUUAUUAUUAUCUUUCAUGUAUUUUGUCUUUACACUAUAAGUUGUGGCCAACUGGAAGAAUUGUCCUCCUGUCUCCUGACCGGAACAAGUUCAGACGGAUAUACAGCAUCAGGGAAUGCUUGCAGUGCAGAGCCCUUUUCAAGUUUAACCCACCAGGUUACAGGGAAGAGACCGGCGUGGUGAUCUUCUGGGCUUUUGUUUACACAGGAUUUUGUUCCAAGGACUGUUUUUUUUUUUUUUUUUUUUUUUUUCGGCAUGAAACACAUUUGUGUGUUAAGUUUAUUGAAGGGAAAUAGAGAAUGGACUGAGAUCAACUGGUUUUGAUGCAUUAAUUGAUGUCAUUUAAAGUUCAACUUUGCAGUGUAUAAUGUUUUAAUAAAAAAGCUAUGGAAAACACGUGCAUGACAACAGGUUUCAGUCAUUUACAUCAGUCUAUCAUUCUUUAAGGUUUCUCAUAUUUGAUGAUAACAUCAUUUGCUAUGCAUUGCUCAUAAUGGAUUCUUAAUUUAGUUGUGACAGGAUUGUGAGGAUUAAUGAGGUUUUCAGUAGUGCAGUUCAGAAAACAAAUAACAGAAAGUAACAAGUGUUUUUGGGCAAGUUCUUUAGAACCUGUAUAGUUCCUUCCUUGCAAAAAGUAACCAUGGAUUUAUUGUAGUAAAAAUAUUUGUUGGCAUAUUAAUUACUGUGAGCUGUAAUUAUAAAAACACCAUAGUUUUACUAUAGUUACUGUAGCAGAACCAUGGUAAAUUUUCGUAGGGGCCAAGGGAAUGUUCAGAAUAUUAU